RNAcentral lists this ribosomal RNA (253 nucleotides) under uncultured bacterium. RNAcentral's name for it is "partial 16S ribosomal RNA". It matches the Rfam family "Bacterial small subunit ribosomal RNA", at positions 524 to 776 of the family's 1533-position model. The record is from RNAcentral.
UACAGGGGGUGCAAACGUUGCUCGGAAUCAUUGGGCGUAAAGCGCACGUAGGCGGUCUGUUAUGUCGGAUGUGAAAGCCCUUGGCUUAACUGAGGAAGUGCAUCCGGAACUGGCAGGCUAGAGUACUAAAGAGGGUCGUGGAAUUCCCGGUGUAGUGGUGAAAUGCGUAGAUAUCGGGAGGAACACCAGUGGCGAAGGCGACUUCCUGGCCUGUUCUUGACGCUGAGGCGCGAAAGCUAGGGGAGCAAACGGG